CCCGCCUCGGGCAGCCAAGGCAACCAGAGCACCUGUGAUGGGGACUCCAGCCUCUGUGGUGAGCGCGAGCCACCCCUGUGGCAGGUUUCAACACCUCCGCAAGCAGGCCUCUGCCAACAUCUUCCAGGAUGCUGAGCUGGUGCAGAUCCAGGGCCUGUUCCAGCGCAGUGGGGACCAGCUGGCUGAAGAGCGGGCCCAUAUCAUCUGGGAAUGUGCGGGGGAUCACCCUGUAGCUGAGGCGCUGAGGAGAUUGCGCAGGAAAAGGCCACUGAGACAGAACCACUGCAGCCGGCUCAGAGUGCCUGAGCCUGGUUCUACAGUGGCCGACCCACAGGUCAGCACCACUGACACGGCCUCCAGUGAGCAGUUCGGGAACUCCCAGAGGACAAGUGCCAGAGCCCACCGGAACUGGAAUAAGCCAGGCCCCACAGGUUACCUCCACCAGAUCAGACACUGACCUAUGAAGGGUGGGGACGUCCUCCCCAAAUAUUGCAGGGACUUUCACCAAAGGGCUUAUGGAGUUGUAGAAAGGACAUCUGAGCAGGCCCUGUCUGGGUGAAGAAAAGUGGUAAUAUGAAUGCCCUCAGUUCAGCUUAGAACCAGCAUCUGCUGGGCUCUGCACUUGCAGGACCUGUUCUUAUCAAGUGAGGCAAUACCGAGGUUGCUCAUGCAUCAGCCUUUCUGGCCUAACAGUGUAACCCAGCUGCAUGGUGUUCCCCUGGAAUAAAAGUAAUAUGCC
This is a non-coding RNA of Arvicanthis niloticus (Nile rat), 739 nucleotides long. The record is from RefSeq and is a predicted model, not a curated record. NCBI's taxonomy places the organism in Eukaryota, Metazoa, Chordata, Mammalia, Rodentia, Muridae.